AUGUUGAUCAAUUUCUCCCUGUUUCUUCCCACAUUAACCACGCUGUCUGUGUUUGCAAGUUCCCUGUCCGAGCCUAUACUGACGCAGCCGUCCUUCAUCUCUGCAUCUCUGGGAGCAAUAGCCAGACUCACUUGCAACUUCAGCAGUGACUUCAGUGUUGGCAGCUACCAAACAUUCUUGUACCAGCAGAAGCCAAGGAGCCCUCCUCAGCAUUUUCUGAGGUUCUACUCAUACUUAAAUAAGCAGCAGAGCUUCAGGGUCCCCAGCUGCUUCUCUGGAUCCAAAGAUACUUCAGCCAAUGCAGGGCUUCUGCUCAUCUCUGGGCUGCAGCCUGAAGACGAGGCUGAUGCUUACUGUGCUAAAGGUCAUGGCAGUGGGAGCAGAUACACUUAUCCAUAG
Lontra canadensis (Northern American river otter) is the source of this 399-nucleotide non-coding RNA. NCBI's taxonomy places the organism in Eukaryota, Metazoa, Chordata, Mammalia, Carnivora, Mustelidae. The record is from the annotation of a RefSeq genome assembly.